RNAcentral lists this ribosomal RNA (513 nucleotides) under uncultured bacterium. RNAcentral describes it as "partial 16S ribosomal RNA". It matches the Rfam family "Bacterial small subunit ribosomal RNA", at positions 28 to 523 of the family's 1533-position model. The record is from RNAcentral.
GACGAACGCUGGCGGCAUGCCUAAUACAUGCAAGUCGAGCGAACAGAUGAAGUGCUUGCACUUCUGACGUUAGCGGCGAACGGGUGAGUAACACGUAAGGAAUCUACCUAUAAGCGGGGGAUAACAUUCGGAAACGGGUGCUAAUACCGCAUAAUACCUUCUUCCGCAUGGAAGAAGAGUGAAAGACGGCUCUGCUGUCACUUAUAGAUGACCUUGCGGUGGAUUAGUUAGUUGGUGGGGUAACGGCCUACCAAGACGAUGAUGCAUAGCCGGCCUGAGAGGGUGAUCGGCCACAUUGGGAAUGAGACACGGCCCAAACUCCUACGGGAAGCAGCAGUAGGGAAUCUUCCGCAAUGGGCGAAAGCCUGACGGAGCAAUGCCGCGUGAGUGAAGAAGGCCUUCGGGUCGUAAAACUCUGUUAUAAGAGAAGAACAAAUUGUAGAGUAACUGCUACAGUCUUGACGGUAUCUUAUCAGAAAGCCACGGCUAACUACGUGCCAGCCGCCGCGGUAA